AGACAAUUGACCUAUUACAGAAUCACAAAACAAGGAAAUACAAAAAAUAAACAUGAAAUUUUUACAUAACAUGAAAAUACAAUCAACAUAUAAAGUAUCACAAAGAAUGGAAAUUAUACAAUUAAAACUUUACUUGUUUAAAUGCCCCUGUCUGAAUGUAUUAAUUUGGCACAAGCAGGUAUAAAAAAAGAAGAAUAUUCACGAAAACAGCUACCUUCAAUAAAAAUAUAUAAAAGUUUUGUUUGAUUGUCAAGAUUGUUAACAGCUUCUACUAUCAGUAUAAAAAAUCGUCUUAAUUUACAUAAUGAUCAGUUUUAGAAUUAAAAACUAUAAUUUAACACUAUGAAUUCUAUUUACACUUUGCCUCUGCCUGGAAAAUCUAAAAGUACAUUAAUUUUGCAAAAUUUAGAAGUGGUAGUGCUCCUUUAAACAUUGGGACUUGAUGGUAUUUAUGUCUUUUAGUUGAAAAGAUAGUUUGUUUUAACAGAAUCUGUAAUGCAAAUCUUUUAUUAAAGAUGAAAAUAGGUAUCAAGGAAAUGUCAAGUGAAUGAAUAUUUGUGUUGUUAUUUCUUUUAUCCAGCAUAUUUAUGUAAUGUAAAUAUUAUGCAUUUGUCUGAUGAACAUAAAUCUAUAACUUUAUUUAAAAAAUUAAAAUACGUACUUUUAUACUACUUCAACCUGAAAUGACAUCCCAUUGAUCAAAACAUUUAUUGUAAAGUGUGAUUUUAAGUAUACAUAUGAUGCAAAUUUGUUAUUCUGCUAUCUUUAUUUUACUCAGUUGUUAGUAGUUUUAAAUUUACUACUUGUUAAAGAUGAGUGAUAGUUGAAGCCUUGAAAUAAACAUUUAGGAAAAAUUAAAACUAUUUUU
Molecule: long non-coding RNA, 868 nt
Filed under: Mytilus galloprovincialis (Mediterranean mussel)
Lineage: Eukaryota; Metazoa; Mollusca; Bivalvia; Mytilida; Mytilidae
Source: RNAcentral